GGCGCUGUGGCUUAGCAGGUCAAAGAGCCUGUCUUGUAAACAGGAGAUCCUAGUCUCAAAUCCCAGCAGUGCCU
Non-coding RNA from Danio rerio (zebrafish), 74 nucleotides. NCBI's taxonomy places the organism in Eukaryota, Metazoa, Chordata, Actinopteri, Cypriniformes, Danionidae. The record is from Rfam.